RNAcentral lists this ribosomal RNA (498 nucleotides) under uncultured bacterium. RNAcentral's name for it is "partial 16S ribosomal RNA". It matches the Rfam family "Bacterial small subunit ribosomal RNA", at positions 29 to 507 of the family's 1533-position model. The record is from RNAcentral.
AACGAACGCUGGCGGCAUGCCUAAUACAUGCAAGUCGAGCGGAUGAAUCGAAAUCUUGCUUGUGAUCCGUUACCGACGGACGGGUGAUUAACACGUAGGUACCCUGUACUGUAGGCGAACGUCACACAAAGAACUCUGAUAUCGCACCCGAUAAGACGAAGUGUCUCAUGACGUUUCGUUGAUCGACGGCGCAGGUGGUCGCUACAGGAUGUACCCGCGCCGCAUUAGCUAGUUGGUGAGGUAACGGCUCACGAAGGCGACGAUGCGUAACCGAUCUGAGAGGGUGAUCCGCCACACUGGGACUGAGACACGGCCCAGACUCCUACGGGAGGCAGCAGUAAGGAAUCUUCCGCAAUGGACGAAAGUCUGACGGAGCAACGCCGCGUGAGCGAAGAAGGCCUUCGGGUCGUAAAGCUCUGUUGUUAGGGAAGAACAAGUAACGCAGUAACUGGCGUUAUCGUGACGGUACCUAACGAGAAAGCCACGGCUAACUACGUG